RNAcentral lists this ribosomal RNA (505 nucleotides) under uncultured bacterium. RNAcentral's name for it is "bacterial SSU rRNA". It matches the Rfam family "Bacterial small subunit ribosomal RNA", at positions 19 to 518 of the family's 1533-position model. The record is from RNAcentral.
CUGGCUCAGGAUGAACGCUAGCGGCAGGCUUAACACAUGCAAGUCGAGGGGCAUCGCGGUGUAGCAAUACACUGGCGGCGACCGGCGAAAGGGUGAGUAACGCGUGAGCAACAUGCCCGGUACUGGGGGAUAGUCAUUGGAAACGAUGCGUAAUACCCCGUAACACAUGAGGCGGCAUCGCCUUAUGUUGAGAGAUUUAUCGAUACCGGAUUGGCUCGCGUACCAUUAGCUAGUUGGCGGGGUAACGGCCCACCAAGGCGACGAUGGUUAGGGGUUCUGAGAGGAAGGUCCCCCACAUUGGAACUGAGACACGGUCCAGACUCCUACGGGAGGCAGCAGUGAGGAAUAUUGGUCAAUGGCCGAGAGGCUGAACCAGCCAUGCCGCGUGCGGGAAGACGGCCCUAUGGGUUGUAAACCGCUUUUGUCGGGGAGCAAUAAGUCUUACGAGUAAGAUGAUGAGAGUACCUGGCGAAUAAGCAUCGGCUAACUCCGUGCCAGCCGCGGC